ACGAAUCAACAACAAGCUGGGAUGUUAUCAAGGAAGUGCGCGAGGAGACCGAGGAGGAUAUCGGAUCACGGUCGGAACUUGUGUUGCACUCAUGAACCUGACGACAUCCAAACAACCAAUCAGAAAAGUCUGCACGUGUCGGGGAGAGGAUGCGUUCCUGAAUCCUCGGACGCCAGCCUUCCGAGUUGCACGUUGGAUGUCACAUCAGGUCUCGGAGCAUUCAUAGCAUUCCUGUUCGUCUUUGUGAUUGUGGCAUGAAAUUGGCUAGUCGUUUAUUGUUAGCUACAUUAGCCUCUUUAGCGAACCAGCCCGAAAACAACGCAACUUUACAUUGUAUUGAACGCACAGCAUGACCAUGCAAUGUAUAGGCCUAAACUGGUGACCGGAAUAAAUGAGCAAUGUAAUCAA
Gadus morhua (Atlantic cod) is the source of this 408-nucleotide long non-coding RNA. RefSeq lists it as uncharacterized. The record is from RefSeq and is a predicted model, not a curated record. Lineage: Eukaryota; Metazoa; Chordata; Actinopteri; Gadiformes; Gadidae. The transcript is spliced from 2 exons.